CUCAGAAUGAACGUUGGCAGCAUGGAUUAGGCAUGCAAGUCGAGCGUGCGUCUUUGGCGCAAGCGGCGAAAGGGUGAGUAAAGCAUAGGUAAUUUACCCAUAUGUUCGGGAUAACAUCCUUAACGGGUUGCUAAUACCGGAUGUUGCGUAACAUCUGCAUGGAUGAUAUGUAAAAGGCGGAGAGAUCUGCCGCAUAUGGAGGAGCUUAUGUCCUAUUAGCCAGCUGGUGGGGUAACGGCCUACCAGGGCGAUGAUGGGUAGCCGGGUCGAGAGGCUGUCCGGCCACACUGGGACUGAGACACUGCCCAGACUCCUACGGGAGGCUGCAGUCGAGAAUCUUCGGCAAUGGACGAAAGUCUGACCGAGCGAUGCUGCGUGGAUGAUGAAGGUCUUCGGAUUGUAAAAUCCUGUUAGAAGCUAGGAAAUUUAUUGUAUGUAACUAUGCAGUAAUUGACAUAAACUUCAAAGAAAGCCACGGCUAAAUUCGUGCCAGCAGCCGCGGUAAUACGAAUGUGGCGAACGUUAUUCGGAAUUACUGGGCGUAAAGGGCGCGUAGGCGGUGAUACAAGUCUGAUGUGAAAUCCCCCGGCCUAACCGGGGAAUUGCGUUGGAAACUGUAUUGCUUGAGUGUGACAGGGGGAAGUGGAACUCCAGGUGGAGCGGUGAAAUGCGUAGAUAUCUGGAGGAACGCCGGCGGCGAAAGCGGCUUCCUGGGUCACAACUGACGCUGAGGCGCGAAAGCCAGGGUAGCGAACGGGAUUAGAUACCCCGGUAGUCCUGGCCGUAAACGAUGGAUACUUGAUAGUAGGGGAGU
Molecule: ribosomal RNA, 814 nt
Filed under: uncultured organism
Description: bacterial SSU rRNA
Rfam family: Bacterial small subunit ribosomal RNA
Source: RNAcentral